UACGUAGGGUGCAAGCGUUAAUCGGAAUUACUGGGCGUAAAGCGUGCGCAGGCGGUUUUGUAAGUCUGUCGUGAAAUCCCCGGGCUCAACCUGGGAAUUGCGAUGGAGACUGCAAGGCUAGAAUCUGGCAGAGGGGGGUAGAAUUCCACGUGUAGCAGUGAAAUGCGUAGAGAUGUGGAGGAACACCGAUAGCGAAGGCAGCCCCCUGGGUCAAGAUUGACGCUCAUGCACGAAAGCGUGGGGAGCAAACAGG
RNAcentral lists this ribosomal RNA (253 nucleotides) under uncultured bacterium. Its description in RNAcentral is "partial 16S ribosomal RNA". It matches the Rfam family "Bacterial small subunit ribosomal RNA", at positions 524 to 776 of the family's 1533-position model. The record is from RNAcentral.